CCGAGUUUAAAUGGCGCAUAUAUUAUUCAUUUUAUAUUAUAUGUAAAAAAUUUUGCGGGUAACGGCUUAAGUCUUUAUACAAAUGGUGAAAUUCGCCAAAUUCUUCUCGUUUGAUAUUUACGGAUGCGUUCCAGACUUUUUUUGUUUAAUAUUUAGCACAGAGCUGGAUUCAAAAUAUUCUUUAUCUGAGGAGUACAUGUCUUCUCUUUUCACUUACAUAAGCGAAAAUAAAAUGAUCAGAUUUAAAAAGAAAAGUAAACACGAACGAGUAUUAUAGCAAAGAACGCGCAGAAAUCAGCGCUGAAUCUCGCAUUCUCUCUGCGGUACCUAAAAUUGAUCAGCGCUCGGCUCAGCUUUCAAUGUCCAUUCUUCAGGCACCAUAAUUCUCGUAUGAACGCAAUGAGCGAAACCAAAAGCGAAUUUGUUGAUAUUGAGCGACAAAAGAGUUCUCGUGUAAACCCUCGCAGUCUAAGUAACUCAGCUAUUGUGAUGAUGGGUAGCUGAGUGAGUGACGGCGCUGUCAAUUCCUCGCCACACAUACACACGCACACACACAAUUUUUGCCUGACUGAUGUCUACGCUCUAACUACGUAUGUUGAUAUGUAUGUCUGCCUUGCCGCUUGUGUAAUUGGGUAGCGAGCGCGUUUGAAAUGUUCCUAUUACGGCUACUUUUGCUUUUCUCCGCUCAUCGUUUUAUUACACGCGCUGCCAGUAAUCAGCGCUGUUUGUAUGAAAACAAUUUUCCUGGUGAUUUGGGAUGCUUGCCAGCAGUGCGGUGCGCUCGCUGCCUUCUUAUUCACAUACAUACAUCUGAAUGUGUUUGCCAAGUGUUGACACCAGACACUAAAUAUUUUGCGCCCGGCAACGCCAGUCGUUUGGUGACAUACCACAAACGGAAAGCAAUUGAAAUAUACGAAUCCAGCGCUAAAAAACUACAAUAACUGAUCAAAUUCAGGUCGCUCUACCUCUACUCUUUACUGCUCUUCGCUGACACUCCGACUCGCUUUGAUCAAAUCAUUUCAUGUGCGCUCUCAGUCUCAGUAUCUGUCUCUGUCAAUUGACUGUUUCAAAUUUCUUGAAGAAACCUAAGCGGCGGAUUAAUGCCGCACAGUGACGCUAAUCGCCCAUCUGUGUGGCUUUCUUAACAUCGUACACUCCUUACUUCACCCCCGGUACACCUUCACGCGGCGUUCAACACAAUUUUGCUCUCAGCGACUGCCGCUGCUGCCUCUGGCCACACCGCUUUUUUUUUUGUUCGCUUUAUUUUUACUUGCGGUGGUGUGGCUCUCCACUCGGUGGCGCGAUGAACUCUUCUAAGCAUACACCGCAAAAUAGAGUUCACCUUCAUUUUCAUUAUUGCUGGCGAGUAGUAGACAUACAAACAUGUGUGUAUGCAUGCGAUUGAUAAAAUAUGUAUACUCAUACAUAAUUAAAUAAUUAUUUACUGUUCCGCUUAUGAGUUGCUCCGAGUAUGAAAGUCGCUUAUUAAGUUUUAAAUGUAUUUACUGUUGAAAUUUGUGUAAACAACUUUAUUAUAAAUAAAAUAAAAAAUGGUAAAAUAUAGUCAGCUAGCUUGAAGAUGUAGGCUUUUAAGCAAUUUAUCGUUUCGUACGAACCUUGUGUAUAUGUGUGUACGUUUACAAAAAAUUAAAAAAUAUAAUAUACAUAUGUACAUAUGUGUACAUAUUUUUUUGUUCUUUAAGCAAGUGUCAGAAGAAUGCUUAACUUAACUGUUAACAGCUUACAACCGAACGACGGAUACUUUUAUAUUUUUUCUUUUUAAAGAAAUAAGGCUUGCACUGUAGAGUACAUACGAAUAAAGUGCCAGAACUAAGCCGUAAAUUAAGAUACAGAACUCAAAUUUGACACAACGAAUAACAUUAUGAAGGAUAGUGCGAAAAUAGGUGAAAUCGGAUGAAAACCCCGCCAUAUAACGGUUUUGUUAAAAACUACUAAAGGAUGGCACAAGAUGUCACUUUAAGGUGAAAUCACAUAUCUCGGGUCCUGCUCCAAAUUUGCUACAUAGGAUUAUUUAUAUUCCCAUACUACGGUGACCGAGCACCGAGUUAUGAGGGACACCGUAAUUCAACUUUUUUUCGAGACGCUCCAGAGUAAUUGCUACCAUUGUCGUAUAUUUUAAUAUUUCUCCACGAAAAUCGAAUAGAGUAUUUAUUAAAUGUCUACUAUAUAUAAUGUAGCAUUGGUUUGUUAAAAUAGAUUUUAACGGUUUCAUACAAAUGGGUAGUGUUUUACACGAAUCAACCCUACUCCUCCUUUAAUUAAAAUUCUUUUUCAAUUUAAAGAAACGAGUCAGCAAAUUUUCUUAAAAUAUAUGCGCUAUCAAAACUAUAAAUUUGCAUACAUUGGAAGACUCUAUAUUACCUGAUGAAGUGGAUCUCUUUCAUAAAUUAUUUAGGUACCGCUUUAAGCGGUAUUCACACCCGGAAUUGACUUACUAUCACUCGAUUAUAGCAUUCAUAAUGAUUCAAAGGAAUAUGAUAUCAUACUUUUAUCAAAUGGAAAUGGUUUUAAUGAGGCAAGUGUGUAAAGUUUGCUGAAAAGUAAUGAAUAGUAUAUCGUUCUUUAUAAGCAAAACGAGUUUUAAAGCAAUUUUUUUUUAUUUGUGGAAGUAUUCACAGUUAUAAUAGGACUUAUGUUGGAGAAAAGACAGAAAGGUUUAACAGACCAAAAAAUCUAAGAGAACAGAAAAGCAGUAACGAAUGUUUUUCAGUCUCUGAAUCGACUCGAACACUCUUCAUAUAUAUAGUCAGACAAACUACAUAAGUAUGUCAACUUUCAGAUUCGAUUGAGAGCAAUCGGUUGUUGAAGGAGUGUGAUAAGCUGGAAACCUUUCAAAACUACAUUACCUUACAAACAAUUACGGUUCUUAAAGAAAAUGUCAGGAGAGUGGAUUUACUGAUUCUGAAUUAUUAAGGUUAGUAUGAUAACUAACAAUAAUGAGAGACCCCGCUUAGAGAGUAAGGAGAUACCUCCUCAUGUCAUGAUAUAUUCGAAUAAAAUUAAGUCAGCGGUUUCUUUGACGACAAUGUGGUUUGCAGCAAAAAGUGUAUUAAAUCGGUCCAUACCUUCUACUAGACCUAUA
This is a non-coding RNA of Bactrocera oleae (olive fruit fly), 3103 nucleotides long. The record is from RefSeq and is a predicted model, not a curated record. NCBI's taxonomy places the organism in Eukaryota, Metazoa, Arthropoda, Insecta, Diptera, Tephritidae.